AACGCGCACACAAGCAAGGAGUGUGCUUGUUAGUGCAGCAUGAGGAGUGGAGGUGGGGGCAGACAGGAAGAGGAAGAGUCGGAUGAAGAGAGCAGCCAAUGAGUACUACAAACAGCCCGUGGGCCGAUGUCAUCCCUCAAGGUGCAGUACAAGGGAGGCACCUUGAGGGCCCCGUCCACGAGCUUGCAACCACUCAGCUGAAUCUUCUAAACUCAAGAACCAACUGUCCUCUAAGCUCCACUUGGAUCCUGUUAAUAACUUUGCUGUCGGGGAAAAGUUUUUCUCUUUUCCGUCAUCAGAUACCCUGUUGGUGUAAUAAGACGGCCAAAGAAGGAUAUGAAAGCCACUGACAUAAAGACAAGAAAGCUCCUCACAAUGUACGGAGGGUUUCACCCCAAGUGCAGCAGCAUCCUGAGACUGUACACUACACAGAAGGAGGGAGGCUGAUGACAUGUCUCAGGAAGAUGGCCCCCAGUGAUGAACUGCUAAGUGAAUGCCUAAGGAAGCAGAAACCCCAUGACGACAAGUAGAAUGAAGAGGAACCAGCGUAGCGGGAAAAGCCCUGCACGGCGUGUACUACUGCCAGUUAGGAGAAGUGUCUGGGACGGGGAUAUCCUACCAGUGGCCGGUCUGGCAGAACAGACGCACUCAUCAUGGCACACAAGAACAGGCCUGAAGCACAAGAUGCAGAGAGGUACAGUGGACAUGGAACGUCAAAUGCGAGCGUGUGGCAUAGUGUAUAGGAACAUCCGUGUCAACAACGGGCUGGACGUUUAGAGUCACAAUGGAAGACACUGGU
This is a long non-coding RNA of Phyllopteryx taeniolatus (common seadragon), 799 nucleotides long. RefSeq lists it as uncharacterized. The record is from RefSeq and is a predicted model, not a curated record. The transcript has 3 exons. Lineage: Eukaryota; Metazoa; Chordata; Actinopteri; Syngnathiformes; Syngnathidae.